Molecule: long non-coding RNA, 1451 nt
Filed under: Monodelphis domestica (gray short-tailed opossum)
Lineage: Eukaryota; Metazoa; Chordata; Mammalia; Didelphimorphia; Didelphidae
Description: lncRNA (ENSMODG00000038064.1)
Source: RNAcentral
AGCACCGUACAUCACCAUGUCUGGAGAGUCAUUAGCUGGAAAAUUAAUCAGGGUGGAGAACAGCUGAAUAAAACCCCAGCCCUCAGUGUAACUUUCCACAUCCCUGGCUCAGCUGUGGAUACUAGCCAGCGCCAACCCUCAAAGGACAUCUUGGACUAUUCCCACCAGUGAAAAGGCACAAAUUGUGACUCCAUCGAUAUAUGGAGCUGCUCAAUAAAAGGAAACAAAAUCCCUCUUCUGAAACAGAUGGACAAAUUUUCUCCAACAAAGAGAAUACGGAAAUUAAGUAUCUUGCUCAAGAUCACAUAUAUUGUCAGAAUAUAUAAAAAGAGGCAGAAGUUAAAUCUAGGCCAUCCUGACUCCAAAGUGAGCCAAUCUUUCCUCCAUUUCAAUAUAUUUCCUCUUCUAAAUACUGAGAACUGACUACAUGACCAUGUACCUAGAUGGACAAAGCAUCUGUAGAUGAAUCUGAUUAUUUAUAGUAUGGUCAAAGAUUGUCCACUCUGCUCCUGUUCCCUUCUUCUCUUUGUUAUUCCAACCACUCUCUGAUGUUUGCUUCUUUCUCUUCUUCUAGGCUAUCUUCUUCACAUUGUACUAUAGCUGGUGACUUGGUUUAAUCUCUUGAUCCUACUUUCUUACCUGAUCAAUGGAGACCUCACUCUUCUCUGGCUAAAUAUCACUCCCAGAUUCUGGGGGUUAUUUAUUCUGAGCAUCUGCUUGACUGCCAUGGACCAAGAGUUUUCAACUUCUCAGCUGAGAUAGACAAUAUGUAACUGAUACUCAACAUACCCUUUUUCAGACCUCUUUCUGAGCCCCUGUUAACUCUAUCUUUCCCAGGCCUCCUCUGGUUCCUAACACAAUGUUAGGAAACAACCCAUACCUGAGUCUUGGAUUGAUUAUUUUGAGUGGGGGGCUAUUUAUCUUUUAAGCAAAACAGAGUACACCAUGCAGCAGGAAUCAGAGAGCCUGAAAACUGGUAAUUUUAAUAAUAACACUACUUUGCUUUUAUAUAGUACAUUUCAUCUGAUGUAUUCAGAGAGCUUCCAGACAUUAAUUAAAUUCGACAACACCCUGUGUGUUAAGUUGAAUUGUAAGAAAUGUGAAAGUGGAUGUCAAGAAACUGAUGUUUUAUUCUGAGCUCUUCCAUUAACAGAAUGUUUUGCCUUGGUGAUAAACUUCAUACUCCAAAGAGAGAAAGGAACCAGAGCAAAAGAAAAAGAAAGAAAGAAAAUACUAUAUAAAUUAGAAGACAGUGCUGGUUAAAGUGGAUGUCAGGAAGAAAAAACAAAGUUAUUACAAAUGGGAGAAAAAAUCAGGGAACGAGUGACUCAGGAGGUCAUUUGCUAAGGACCCCUGUGGGGCCAGGGACAGCAAGCAAACAUGCUGUACGACACAGAUCCAUAAGAAAACCUCAAAAUAAAUGAUGAGAUAAAAAUAGGGUUCUGUCUAAU